This 254-nucleotide ribosomal RNA is filed under the name uncultured bacterium. RNAcentral's name for it is "partial 16S ribosomal RNA". It matches the Rfam family "Bacterial small subunit ribosomal RNA", at positions 524 to 776 of the family's 1533-position model. The record is from RNAcentral.
UACGAAGGUCCCAAGCGUUGUUCGGAAUCACUGGGCGUAAAGGGAGCGUAGGCGGCGUGGUAAGUCAGAUGUGAAAACUUGGGGCUCAACUCCAAGCUUGCAUUCGAUACGGGCAGGCUAGAGUUCGGUAGGGGAGACUGGAAUUCCUGGUGUAGCGGUGAAAUGCGCAGAUAUCAGGAAGAACACCCGUGGCUAAGGCGGCUCUCUAGUACGGUACUGGACGCUGAGACGCGAAAGCGUGGGGAGCGAACAGG